CUCCGAUCCCAUUUCAGAAACCGUAGAAGCGUUCCCGGCGUCAUAAGCUCCAUUUUGAACCAAUCAUCUCCGAGUUCUGAAACUGUUUGAAGAGUUAAGUGAUCGUGAGGGUAGAAGUUGUAGUUGGACGAACCAAAAAAACCCACUUUUAGAUCGUUCAAUCACGUAUCCAGAGGGAGACGAGCGGCUGGAAGAUGUGCUGGACGAAGAGAACUUGGUAGAAGUUGAGAUGAAG
This is a non-coding RNA of Vigna umbellata (rice bean), 235 nucleotides long. The record is from RefSeq and is a predicted model, not a curated record. Lineage: Eukaryota; Viridiplantae; Streptophyta; Magnoliopsida; Fabales; Fabaceae.